UACGAAGGAGGCUAGCGCUGUUCGGCCUCACGGGGCGCAAAGUUCACGCAGGCGGAUCGAUAAGUCGGGGGUGAAAGCCCGGGGCUCAACCUCGGAAUUGCCUUCGAUACUGUCGGUCUCGAGUCCGGGAGAGGUGAGUGGAAUUCCUAGUGUAGAGGUGACAUUCGUAGAUAUUAGGAAGAACACCAGUGGCGAAGGCGGCUCACUGGCCCGGUACUGACGCCCAGGUGCGAAAGCGUGGGGAGCAAAUAGG
RNAcentral lists this ribosomal RNA (253 nucleotides) under uncultured bacterium. RNAcentral's name for it is "partial 16S ribosomal RNA". It matches the Rfam family "Bacterial small subunit ribosomal RNA", at positions 524 to 776 of the family's 1533-position model. The record is from RNAcentral.